GUCCACGCCCUAAACUAUGUCUACUAGUUGUUGGGGGAGUUAAAUCCCUUAGUAACGCAGCUAACGCGCGAAGUAGACCGCCUGGGGAGUACGGUCGCAAGAUUAAAACUCAAAGGAAUUGACGGGGGCCCGCACAAGCGGUGGAUGAUGUGGUUCAAUUCGACGCAACGCGAAAAACCUUACCUACCCUUGACAUGUGAGGAACCCUGCAGAGAUGCAGGGGUGCCCGAAAGGGAACCUCAACACAGGUGCUGCAUGGCUGUCGU
Molecule: ribosomal RNA, 266 nt
Filed under: uncultured bacterium
Lineage: Bacteria
Description: partial 16S ribosomal RNA
Rfam family: Bacterial small subunit ribosomal RNA
Source: RNAcentral